UUAGGAAUAUUGGACAAUGGACGCAAGUCUGAUCCAGCCAUGCCGCGUGAGUGAUGAAGGCCUUCGGGUUGUAAAGCUCUUUAGUCCACGAUUAUAAUGACUGUAGUGGAAGAAUAAGCCCCGGCUAACUUCGUGCCAGCAGCCGCGGUAAUACGAAGGGGGCGAGCGUUAUUCGGAAUCACUGGGCGUAAAGCGUGCGUAGGCGGCCAUAUAAGUUGGGAGUGAAAUCCCGGAGCUCAACUUCGGAAUUGCUUUCAAAACUAUAUGGCUAGAAAUCGGGAGAGGAUAGCGGAAUUUCCAGUGUAGUAGUGAAAUACGUAGAUAUUGGAAGGAACACCAGUGGCGUAAGCGGCUAUCUGGACCGACAUUGACGCUGAGGCACGAAAGCGUGGGGAUCAAA
This 400-nucleotide ribosomal RNA is filed under the name uncultured bacterium. Its description in RNAcentral is "bacterial SSU rRNA". It matches the Rfam family "Bacterial small subunit ribosomal RNA", at positions 355 to 772 of the family's 1533-position model. The record is from RNAcentral.